Long non-coding RNA from Erigeron canadensis, 749 nucleotides. RefSeq lists it as uncharacterized. The record is from RefSeq and is a predicted model, not a curated record. NCBI's taxonomy places the organism in Eukaryota, Viridiplantae, Streptophyta, Magnoliopsida, Asterales, Asteraceae. The transcript has 3 exons.
AUAUAUUUUCUAUUUUUCAAAGAAAAAAAAAACAAGCUCAUCAUUGCAGUAGUGGAAAAUUGAAAAUAUAUAUGCUUCCUCGUCUUCUUCUUCCAACAACCUACCGCCAGGAAACGAAGAGAUCUAAGUGAAAGAUUGAAAGAUAGAUGGGCCUACAAAUUACUACAGACAAAAAGAUUUAUCAAUGCCGCACAUCGGCAAGUUAACGAAGAAUAUUGAUGAUUCUUGAUCUAGUAUCCGGUAAAGAACAUAGGAAGAAUGGACUUCUGCUCGGCGCCAACUGCCAAGUCAUCAUUCGAGAGUCAAUACAAAGAUCAAUAUAAGGGGCAAGGGUGUAGUCGACUUGUUUUAUCGGCAAAAACCAUCGGCAAGCUUCAGCAAUUUGACAAAACUAUAACACGUGUAUCGGCAACUUUUGGCAAGGUAUAUCGACUAAUUUUGACCGAUGGAAGUGAACGUUGAGGCCUGACAUGUGAAUGUUGGGAGCGUGUUUUUUUUAUUUGGUCAAAAGUGACCGCUUGGCAAGAAUUGACACAAAUUGGCAAAAAAUGACACUACACCCUCAACAUUGGCAAGAAUCGGCUAGGAUUGACAAGUUUUUGGCUAAAUUCAUGUGUCAAGCUCCUAAUUGUUAGUUUUUUGCCAAAACUUGUCAAAUUGCCAAAACAUUGGCACUACAUCCUUGCCCCUAAGUAUCAAUAUCAUUAUAUAAUCGUCUUUUGCAUUAAUCUAACAAAUUCUUUUUACAA